This 1086-nucleotide long non-coding RNA is filed under the name Takifugu rubripes (torafugu). RNAcentral describes it as "lncRNA (ENSTRUG00000021016.2)". Lineage: Eukaryota; Metazoa; Chordata; Actinopteri; Tetraodontiformes; Tetraodontidae. The record is from RNAcentral.
CCCAAAGCCUCAAUAAAAGCACAGAUGUUUUCCCUAACCAGAUUAACUCUUACGCACCAGUAUAAAGUGUGAACGUGCACAUAUUGUCUUUUAACUAGGUCACCUUUACAUCUGUAGGUCCUGUUUUUUAAGGCUCAUGAAUUCCAGCAGAACUGCACCAAAAGUAAAAACACAAGCCAUUGUGGAGUUUCCGACCCCGCGUUAGUUCAGGAGACUGAUUCCAAAUACGUCCGUUCUAUGCUCGCGUCGUCUGGAAAAUUGCUGGCCCUCACUCUGCAGGAGUGAAGUUCAGAUGGAACCGGCUGCAGCCACGACUCACUUUUUCCGACGACUUCGGUGGAGCGUGGCAGCUCUCUAGUUCGGCUUCCUGGUCCGUGUUCUGGGGCUUUAUUUGCGAGUUCAGAGAUGUUCUGGGGGGCAGCGAGCUCGGCUGGACUCUGUCUCCACAGUUUCCUGCUGUUGGGAGUCUGUUUUCCAGCGGGGGCUGCAGAGGCUCCUCCUCUUCUUACACCUGAAGAUCAGUCCGGGGAAUCUGGCCUCGAGGAUUUGGAAUGGGGCUCUGGCUCAUCUUUCCUCCACCUCCUCCACAGCUUCCCAGCUGACAGCCCCUUCAGAACGGAGACCCCGGGAGAACCCGUCAACUGCAGCCAGCAGUUCUGGCUGCCGCCGUCCUCCGACAUCUGCUGGGAGGACAUAGCCGGGCCCGAGGAGUUCGCCAAGUCUCGCCUCCUCGUGUUGCAGAACAGGGCUGCGCUGCAGGCUGUGUCUGCCUCCAGCGGUGUGGAGGAUGGAGCGGUCCCUUAUGAACAUCAGGCUAGAGAGGAGGUGCAGGGGAUCCAGUCGGACCACCAGGGAGCAGUGGAGACAAUAGAAACCAUGGAGAAGGUUUUCGUGUCUCUGGAGGAGAAGAGGAAACAAGGGAAGGAGGAGGGGCUCCUGACAAGCAUGAAGGAGAACCUCUUCAGCACGCGGAGUGAUAUGGACAGGAGAGAGCACAUGGCGAACAUCCUGGAGAACCAUUUUACAGUUUUGGAGAACACUUUGGUCAACAUGCAGCUUCGGCUCUCCAGGUUGAUCCAUCAGUGA